CAUUGUGCAAGUUUUUGUUUAGUUGAUGUGUGACCUGUUCUGAUUCUGGAUAGUACUAUUGCUUCUGUGGUGUUAAUGUGUUGAUGUUUAAUCCAUGUUUGUUUGAACCAUGGUUUUUGUGUUACCGUUUUGGAGUGUUCAAAGUGAAAUUUUCCUUUUUCUUCAGAUAUACAGUUGUAUUUGUCCUGCCAUAUUUGCCAAAGUUCAUCUUGAAUUACUAUUUGUAGGUCUCCUAAUGUGAGGUUAUUAUUGUCUGUUAUAUUUCUUGUUGUACCUAAUUUAGCUGCGUGAUCUGCUCUGUCGUUUUCCAGUGGUAGUUAUUGAGUGCUGCUAUUUUUUCAAGUACAUUGUUUUUGCUAUUUCUUUUAAUGUGAUGUAUUCCGCUCUUAAUUUGAGUGGUAGUUCACCUGCUUCAAAGAGGACUACGUGGUUAGGCGUGGAUGGGAGUAAUCUCAUGGAAGUACGGAUUGCUAGGUGUUGUAUCGAUUCUAGUUUGGAGAAUAUAGUUUUUGGAGCUGCUGCGGUGAUUGAUAAUCCAUAAUCGAGGUGUGGACGGACUAUUGCAUUUGAGAUCUUUAACGCUUGUUCUGGAACAUUCCGGAAUGUCGUUUGGUAUCUCUGGCUUUGGCGUAGGACUCAGUAAUUUCCGAUUGGAAUCUGCUUCUAUUUGUCUUUUCAUUAUGCUACGUGAGUUAUAUUGAUUUGUCACCGGUUUAUUUAUUUUAAUACGCUUUUCGUCAAAAUUAUCUUCAUAUUUUGGAUCGUUUUCACUUUGGGUAAGCUUACGUUUUUCUUUUAAGAUGGCUUCUGUUCCUACCAAUUCAGGACCAUCGCCAUCUAAAUCCUCUUCAUCUACUAUCAUAUAUUUCAGUUUCCCCUGCACUACGUAAUAUAUUCCAACGAAUAAUAAUUAAUCUAGAAACUUGCCUUAAUAUCUAAUAAAAAACAAUGUUAUGGAGAUUCAGUCUUUUCACUAAUAUAUUCCUUAUUACAGCCACUAUUUUACACCUUCAACUACACUGAAAAUAAUUUGCACGCUAGCAUGAUGUGCAAAGCAUUUGAGCUAUCACUACUUGUGGAACACAUGAAACUCAUGAAAACAUACAUUCAACUCCUAAAAUGAAUGUAAAACCUGUUGAUAUUUAGUGGAAAUCAUGUUACAUUUAUCUAAAAUGCACAUAAAAAUGAUAAGAUAUAUCGUUACCUCCAGAUUCUAUAUGUAUUUCAUAUGAAUGUCACAUUGUUUUUCAUAUAGAUUUCAAUUGAAACACGGUUGACCGAAUCAAGUGUUUUGCACAUACAUUUGUGCUGUAUUCAUUUCCACUUGAAAAUGAAGUGUUUCACACAUGUAGUUCAAUUCAAUAGCAAAACACAUCACAUCCAAAGGAAAAACACAUCAAUGGUAUAUAGAAAAUAAUCUGAUCUUGCAUCUUAGUGAAUUUGCACAUGAAAUCUUGAAACAAAUGGCAUUGGUUUUGUAUUGAAAUGAAAAAGCACAUUAAAUUGAAUUGCUGUUUACAUAUGAAUCGAUCGUACAAAUUUUUAUC
Malaya genurostris is the source of this 1547-nucleotide long non-coding RNA. RefSeq lists it as uncharacterized. The transcript has 4 exons. The record is from RefSeq and is a predicted model, not a curated record. Lineage: Eukaryota; Metazoa; Arthropoda; Insecta; Diptera; Culicidae.